AUGCUUUAUGGCUUAGAACCGGGACUUCAACGACAUUUUGAACGUCAUGGAGCAUAUGAGAUGUUCCAGGAGUUGAAGUUCAUAUUUCAAGCAAAUGCCCGGAUUGAGAGAUAUCAAGUCUCCAAUAAGUUCUACAGCUGCAAAAUGGACGAGAAUAGUUCUGCCAGUGAGCAUAUACUCAGAAUGUCUGGGUACCACAAUCACUUGACUCAGCUGGGAGUUAAUCUUCCGGUUGAUAGUGUCAUUGACAGAGUUCUUCAAUCACUGCCACCAAGCUACAAAAGCUUCGUGAUGAACUAUAAUAUGCAAGGGAUGGAUAAGACAAUUCCCGAGCUCUUCGCGAUGCUAAAGGCUGCGGAGGUAGAAAUCAAGAAGGAGCAUCAAGUGUUGAUGGUUAACAAGACCACUAGUUUCAAGAAAAAGGGCAAAGGGAAGAAGGGGAACUUCAAGAAGAACGACAAGCAAGUUGCUGCUCAAGCGAAGAAGCCCAAGUCUAGACCUAACCCUGAGACUGAGUGCUUCUACUGCAAAGGGACUGGUCACUGGAAGCGGAACUGCCCCAAGUAUUUGGCGGAUAAGAAGGAUGACAAAGUGAAAGGUAUGUUUGAUAUACAUGUUAUUGAUGUGUACCUUACUAAUGCUCGUAGUAGCGCCUGGGUAUUUGAUACUGGUUCUGUUGCUCACAUUUGCAACUCGAAACAGGGGUUACGGAUUAAGCGAAGAUUGGCUAAGGACGAGGUGACGAUGCGCGUGGGAAAUGGUUCCAAAUUCGAUGUGAUCACCGUCAGCACGCUACUUCUACAUCUACCUUCGGGAUUAGUUUUAGACCUGAAUAAUUGUUAUUUGGUGCCAGCGUUAAGCAUGAACAUUAUAUCUGGAUCUUGUUUGAUGCGAGACGACUAUUCAUUUAAAUCAGAGAAUAAUGGUUAUUCU
RNAcentral lists this ribosomal RNA (933 nucleotides) under Triticum aestivum (bread wheat). RNAcentral's name for it is "partial small subunit ribosomal RNA". The record is from RNAcentral. Lineage: Eukaryota; Viridiplantae; Streptophyta; Magnoliopsida; Poales; Poaceae.